AUUUAACUGUGGAAACAAUAC
This 21-nucleotide small RNA is filed under the name Brassica napus (rape). RNAcentral's name for it is "PsRNA_54". The record is from RNAcentral. Lineage: Eukaryota; Viridiplantae; Streptophyta; Magnoliopsida; Brassicales; Brassicaceae.